This 406-nucleotide ribosomal RNA is filed under the name Pseudomonas sp. Lgg10.5. RNAcentral describes it as "bacterial SSU rRNA". It matches the Rfam family "Bacterial small subunit ribosomal RNA", at positions 43 to 451 of the family's 1533-position model. Lineage: Bacteria; Pseudomonadati; Pseudomonadota; Gammaproteobacteria; Pseudomonadales; Pseudomonadaceae. The record is from RNAcentral.
CAGGCCUAACACAUGCAAGUCGAGCGGAUGAAGGGAGCUUGCUCCCUGAUUCAGCGGCGGACGGGUGAGUAAUGCCUAGGAAUCUGCCUGGUAGUGGGGGACAACGUCUCGAAAGGGACGCUAAUACCGCAUACGUCCUACGGGAGAAAGCAGGGGACCUUCGGGCCUUGCGCUAUCAGAUGAGCCUAGGUCGGAUUAGCUAGUUGGUGAGGUAAUGGCUCACCAAGGCUGCGAUCCGUAACUGGUCUGAGAGGAUGAUCAGUCACACUGGAACUGAGACACGGUCCAGACUCCUACGGGAGGCAGCAGUGGGGAAUAUUGGACAAUGGGCGAAAGCCUGAUCCAGCCAUGCCGCGUGUGUGAAGAAGGUCUUCGGAUUGUAAAGCACUUUAAGUUGGGAGGAAGG